GUGCUCACCUGGGCAGCACAUACACUAAAAUUGGAACGAUACAGAGAUUAGCAUGGGUCUUGCAUGAGGAUGACACGCAAAUUCGUGAAGAGUUCCAUAUUAAA
RNAcentral lists this small nuclear RNA (104 nucleotides) under Castor canadensis (American beaver). Lineage: Eukaryota; Metazoa; Chordata; Mammalia; Rodentia; Castoridae. The record is from RNAcentral.